RNAcentral lists this ribosomal RNA (3507 nucleotides) under Triticum aestivum (bread wheat). RNAcentral's name for it is "partial small subunit ribosomal RNA". The record is from RNAcentral. Lineage: Eukaryota; Viridiplantae; Streptophyta; Magnoliopsida; Poales; Poaceae.
UACGGGCGAGGAUAAGCGCGGGUACGGGCUCGGAAGUCGAGAAGAAGGCGCGGGCGCCCCGGUGAGGGAGAGACCAAGAGGUACGGGUACGUGCACGGUGUGGCGCAGGCAGCACGGGCAGCAACGGUAGUGCGAGCGGCGUCGGUGGCGUGGUGACACGGGGCGCGCUGCGUGUGGGACUGGCGCACAGUGUGAGAGCGACCGACGCGAGCGGGGCAGACGACGGCGGAUAGGGAAGCGAGCGGGGCGACAGCGCGGGGACGGAGCACGGCGGAGGACAGCGCCGGUAGAAGACGGCCGGCGGGGGAGUCGGUGCGAUCGGCGUAGAAACGGGAAGUGGCAGCCGGCGAACGGAGCGGACGACGUACGAAGAAGGACGACGAUACACGACGAGAUGGUGACCAUGCGACAACGCGGUACGGGAGCUGUGGCGACACCUGUUUACACCGCCUCCCUAACAGUUACCUCAUGCUCCUCCUCCACCGCCUCUUCCACACCUCUCCGUUCUCCAGAUCCCACCGCAGUCGACCGACACCACCUCGGCAGGAGAGCUAGAGUAGACCUGUAGGUCGGGGUGGGGCGGGGAGUGGCGGCAGACGGCAGCACGCGGCGGCGGCGGCGGAUGGGGCGGCCGCGCGGAUGGGGAUGUGGUUCACGGUUAUGUGGGCGCGGGUAGGUAAUGGCCCCUGAGCGCCGGAAGAUGGCGGCCGCCGUGCGUUGCAGCGCCGGUAACCGCCGAGGGGCUGGAACGAUGGUACCGCGAAGGCCCUGAGGAGGGACGAUCCCUCUCCUCCUUUCGAUCCACCGUUCCGCUCCGGCCCCGACCCGCGACCGAGAGGGCUAGGUCUGCCCUAGCUCCGUCCCGUACCCGCCGAACCCGCGUGACGCGCACCUCCGAACACCCCGCGCCCCGCAAGCAGGCUAGAUCUACGAAGACGUGGUGAAGACCAACCCAAGACAUUCAUGACGUCACGAAUGCUACCUGCAGUUGGUUCCUUCUUCCGCGUUUGUCCACUACUUCUUCCGCAUUGGUUCCGCACCCUCUCAAAUUUACUCACCUCUCCUUAAACCCGAAAUCCGGAACAUUAUCAAACCCGGUACCCGGAAUCGUUCAACCGCCAACACCUACUGUAAACGCGCUUCGACCGUAGCGACCUACACUUCGAGUGCCUCGUUCGCCGCGCGGACCUAGUUCACGUACAGUUCCACCUAGACAGGACGCUGUGCAACCCCGUUCACGUCGUCCCUGUCGAAGUACGCCGCUCUCCUCUGUUCUGGUGUCCCGUUCCGCUCUCGAGAAGUGGGUGUCGUAACCUCCAGAGCCUACCCUAAGACCCGUGUCCUGGCGCCAUAUCCGUCGGUGGUGGUGGUGGAGGUGGUGGUGAAGUCCAUGGCCAAUGUAACGGACAACAAGUCAACGGCUACAGCAAGCGCCAGCUCCUCUCACCAUUGUUUGCGGUCACCUACGGAUUCUACCUAAAAAGCUCCAAGCUACCAAGACUACACGCCUAAACCAACCUAUCUACGCUCCGAAAGAAGGUCAAUAUAGUGUAUGGACUUUUAAAGUUCCAAUGAAGACGAAGAGACAUGGACUGCCUAUUACGACGUGUAACCAUGGUUCGCAAGUUCGUCUGACGCCGUAAGGUAUGAACCCUUGUUAAAACACUCCGGUAAUACUUCCUUAAACUACACCUGCAAAUGGCAGUCUUCUACUUCCUCGACUACGAUGAGUUCGUCUGACCAUGACAGCUUCUUAUAUUCGUGGUCAAGUACGUGAACCACAUAUGCCAGUCCAACAUACUCGGCUGUUAGUCGCUGUGUAAAGACUAGUGAGCUAAACACUACCCUGACUUCCUGCUUGAAGCUCGACCCCAUCUUCAAGUCUAUGGAAGAUGUCAUGUUUACCGACGGGACAUACGGAGUCAAGUCCUUCCUAAUAACGACGUUGUUUUUUGAGGAUUCGGUGGAAAGAGGUUCUCAAGUAUGUGUUUCUGACUGUCAGUGUGCACAUUGGUUGGGUGACAAGGUCGUCCAGUUGAGUUCCGACGUCUUUACCACCUAGGAGUACUCUAAUAGAGACUACGUCACAAACUACGAGAACACUGUUUACCAGUACUCCUUACACGUCGAAAUAGUCGUUGUCGUAACAGUCCUCGUGGAGUGGGGCCUUGUUAAGUCAACUCCCGUAACGGCAACCUAGACAGAGAUGGCCCAUAUUAAGGUCUUCGUCACGAGCUAGCCGCUGACCACUUUUUUCCCUUGUUGAGAGUGAACGUUCACAACUAUUUUACCCGAUGUUAUGGUGGCAGCAGUCGGUGGACCCUUCUAAUACUGCACGAGUUCCGCGCAAUAGGUCGCCGUGGUCGAACCCCUGUUCGACCAAGAAGUCCCCGCCCAUGACCAACCGCGGGGCACAGACGCGGGGUAUUCGAACCUGCCUCGAGGCUGCGCCGGUACAACCGGAACGUCUACUCGAGGUUUACACCGGUUAGGAGACUUCUAAGUUACCUUAGACUACAAUUACGGACGUCCGACGUCAACAACUAGUGAGUCUCUGAGUUUCACCAGCCUGGGAAGGGACCUGGGACGCGUUCGCCCUCGAUGUACGUGGUCACAUAACCACGGUUACGACGUAAACCUCAACCUCUCCGGCUCCGGUGGACGACGUUCUCCGUUUACCAGUUGAUGUCGGCGUUCUCUCCUAGUGUCCACAAGACGGCCGUCAAAGUUAAAUCAGUCCGUCAACGGUAGUAGCACUCUGACGGCUGACCUCCUUGAUGUUACCGAGAAACAAGGUCGGUAUAGGCUAGGGGACCCGACCUCGAAAGGCCAGUGGACUUCUCGUACCACGUACCCCGCACGGCAACCGCAGACGGACCUACCCCUGUGCCCGGUGGAAGCGACAUAUCAGCGGCUGAUUAGCGGUUCAGCAAAAGGUUUUUAGUCCCAUGUCGCUGAAUACCGCUGAUAUGUCGCUGAAAGCAGCUGAUAUGCGACUCGGCGUCCCGAGCGCCGCUGAGCGGUUCAGCGCUGAGUUUUUGGAACCAGAGCCCCCACACCGAAGAUGACUUAAAAGCUGUGGUGGUUGAGGACCUCCCCUCCGCCCUGCCUGCCGUCGCCGUAAGAUAAGCCCCAACGCAGCUAGACCACUACGACCUCGUAUGUCCUUUGUAGUGGAGGUGGUGCUGGAGGUGGUGCUGUAAAGUUCACGUUGCCUCAACGGAAAACGGGAGGGGAGGUGGGAAAGGCCUAUCGAUACAGGGUGGUAGUCGUAAUCUUGUUCUCUUUCUCUUGGAGGGGUACACCGGUGCAGAAGUUUGUCUUGGAGGGGUGCGGAGGUGGCGGUCUAGUGGGAGGGGACACGAAGAGGACGUGGCGGCACGCCCGCAGCCGCGGAAGGGCCGCUCGGCUCGUAGUACGUGGUUCCUCCGUAGGCAUAAGGGAAGAGUGUGCGACGGCUACGGCGCCUCGGCGCCUCCGCGACGAUAGCGAGCGCUAAACUACAUU